This 1364-nucleotide ribosomal RNA is filed under the name metagenome. RNAcentral describes it as "SSU rRNA". It matches the Rfam family "Eukaryotic small subunit ribosomal RNA", at positions 379 to 1801 of the family's 1831-position model. The record is from RNAcentral.
GAUUUCGGAGAGGGAGCAUGAGAAACGGCUACCACAUCUAAGGAAGGCAGCAGGCGCGUAAUUACCCAAUCCUGACUCAGGGAGGUAGUGACAAGAAAUAGCAAACCGGGAACCUCAUGGUUUCACGGUAUUGCAAUGAGAACAAUUUAAAACCCUUAGCGAGAAUCAAGUGGAGGACAAGUCUGGUGCCAGCACCCGCGGUAAUUCCAGCUCCACUAGCGUAUAUUAAAGUUGUUGCAGUUAAAAAGCUCGUAGUUGAACCUCUGUCUGGGGCUAGUUUUGGCUUUGGUCAGGCUAGUUCUAGGCAUCCGCCUACAAGACUUAGAGGGCAUUCAGUUGUUCACUAGGAGGAGUAGGCAUUUUACUUUGAAAAAAUUAGAGAGUUUAAGGCAGGCAAUCGCCCGCAUAUAUUAGCAUGGAAUAAUAGAAUAGGACACUUUUCCAUUUCGUUGGUUAUUGGAAUCGUGUAAUGAUUAAUAGGGACAGUUGUGGGCAUUUGUAUUUAAUUGUCAGAGGUGAAAUUCUUGGAUUUAUUAAAGACAAACUAACGCGAAAGCAUCUGCCAAGGAUGUUUUCAUUAAUCAAGAACGAAAGUUAGGGGAUCAAAGACGAUCAGAUACCGUCCUAGUCUUAACUAUAAACUAUUCCGACUCAAUGUUUGACUGGCUUAUAUAACCAGUUGAGCGUUGUAUGAGAAAUCAAAGUCUUUAGGUUCUGGGGGGAGUAUGGUUGCAAAGCUGAAACUUAAGGGAAUUGACGGAAGAGCACAACCAGGAGUGGAUUCUGCGGCUUAAUUUGACUCAACACGGGGAAACUUACCAGGUUAAAACAAUAGUGGGAUUGACAGUUUGAGAGCGCUUUCUUGAUUGGUUGGGUGGUGGUGCAUGGCCGUUCUUAGUUGGUGGAGUGAUUUGUCUGCUUAAUUGCGUUAACGAACGAGACCUUAACCUGCUUACUAGACUGGCGAUCAUCAAUCGUUAGCUCUUCUUAGAGGGACUUUGGUUGUUUUAACUCCAAGGAAGUUUGAGGCAAUAACAGGUCUGUGAUGCCCUUAGAUAUCCUGGGCCGCACGCGUCAUACAAUGACUAGUUCAGAAAGUUUUCUCCUGACCCGAAAGGGGAUGGGUAAUCUUGAUAAUACUAGUCGUGUUAGGGAUCGAUCUUUGCAAUUAUAGAUCUUGAACGAGGAAUUCCUAGUAAGUGCGGUUCAUCAGACCGUACUGAUUACGUCCCUGCUCUUUGUACACACCGCCCGUCGCUUCUACCGAGUGGGUGGUCCGGUGAGAUAAUUGAACUUCGCAGGUAACUGAGAGGAAAGAUUAUCAAACCUAUCCACCUCGAGGAAGAAGAAGUCGUAACAAGGUU